This 2323-nucleotide long non-coding RNA is filed under the name Chloebia gouldiae (Gouldian finch). RNAcentral describes it as "Erythrura gouldiae (Gouldian finch) lncRNA (ENSEGOG00005008056.1)". The record is from RNAcentral. Lineage: Eukaryota; Metazoa; Chordata; Aves; Passeriformes; Passeridae.
AUGGGCAGCUGUGCUAAACCUGUGCCCGGCACCCCAAACCUGCCACCCCGCACUGAACACCCCAAACCAAACACCCCAUGCCAGACACCCAAAUCCUGGCCAUCCUCCCCCAGGCACCCCAAACCAAGAACUCCUGUGCCAGGAACCCCAAGCCAGCCACCCCUCACUGGGCACUCCAAACCAGCACCCACCCCAACACACACCACUCACCCUGUACCUGUCCAUGCAGGCACCCCAUUGUGGGCAUCCCAAUUCCAAGCACCCCACCGUGAUGCCAGGCACCCUAUUUUGGGCAGCCUGUCCCAAUCAUCCCACACCAGACACACCUUGCUGGGCAUCCUGUGGUGGACACUGGGCCCUGGGCACCCCAACCUGUGCCAUGUCCCCAUACCAGGCACCCUGCACUGCCCCACGUGCUGUGCACACCCUGUCCUUGUCCCCAGGGUCCCUGUCACCCCAUAUCUCUGCCCCCAAGCUGUGUCCUUUAGUGAUGGGCAGCACUGCUGUCCAAAGGGCACCUCCACGCCGUGUCCCCUAUGCUGUGCCCCCUGUGCCCAUCUGGGGCCCUUGUCAUGCCAUGUGUUCCCCCAGGCCGUGUGCUGCGGUGACAGGCAGCACUGCUGUCCCCAGGGCACCACCUGUGACCUGAUCCACUCCACCUGCACCUCCCUGGGGGGCUCUGCCCCCCUAGCAGCUCUGCCCACAGGUAAGACCCCCUCAGGGAGCAACCACCCCCUGUCGUGUCCCAGGGAGGGGACACCAGCCCUGACUGUCCCCUGUCCCCAGCUGGUGAGGUCAAGUGUGAUGAGGAGACGAGCUGUCCCGAUGGGAACACGUGCUGCAGGCUCAGCUCAGGGGCCUGGGGGUGCUGCCCCCUCGAGCAGGCCGUUUGCUGCGGGGACCACAAGCACUGCUGUCCCCGGGGCUACACCUGCAACGUGGCCACCGAGAGCUGUGAGAAGCUGCUGGCACCCACCCCGCUCCUGCCAACCCCCUCAGCCCCCCGCCAGGCCCCCUCAGCCCCCCGCCGGGCACCCCCUGUCCCACUGCGAGCUGCUGGCAUCCACCCGGGUGGCCUCGUGCCCUGCGGUGCCACUGGCUCCUGCCACGCGGGCCAGCGGUGCUGUCAGGCCCGGGGAGGUUCCUGGGGGUGCUGCCCCUUUGCCCAGGGCUCCUGCUGCUCCGAUGGCCGCCACUGCUGCCCCGCGGGGUCCCGCUGCACCGGGGGGGGCUGGGGGUGCAGUCCCCAGCGCUGGGACCUGCUCUGAUGGCACUGGGGACACCCCCACCACCACCACGCCCCAAGUGCCACCACUCCAAUAAACGGUUUCUAGGAGAAACUCCACCCAUGGUUCCUGGUGAGGGGGAAACUGAGGCGGGAGGCGGAGGCAGGGGGGAUUUUGUGUAUUUAAUAUAUUAAUGCCUCUAAGGAGCAGGCAGGACGUGCGGGCAGGUGCAGGCAGCAGCUUCCUGCCCAGCCUGGCACCUGGGGCGUUCCCCAUAGCCCCCCCUCUGCCAGCCUGGCCCCAAUGAUCCCUCUUCAUCCUCACCACGUAGAAAACGUUUAGAAACACAAGUUAAAAUCCAAAGGGGGAUGAGGGUGGGGGGACAGGGGCCCCCUGGCUCCUAUGGCAGCUUGGAGGCACCGCUGGCUCGGGGGGCAGUGCCAGCCCCCCCUGUCCUGCAGGGACACAAAAGGGGACUUGGCUCAGGACUGGGGGAACAUGGAGCAUGCAGUUCCCACCAAGAGACAGGGAGGCAGAUCGUGGUCUUGGGGAGGGAACAGGGGCAGCAGGCUCCCGUGUGGCAGAACCCGGUGGCACAGGAUGGGGGUCCCGAGCAGAUGGGGGACAGGGGUGGCCUAGGUGUGGUCACUCUGGUCCCUCUCCUGGCAGGAUACUGGGAGGGGGUGGGCAAGGAACAGCGGCUGGAAUGGAUGAGGAGUGGGAGGGCUGGUGACAGGAAGGGAUGGUGAUGGUAAGAUGGGAUGGUACUGGAGUGGGAUUGUGGUGGGGUGGGAGAGUGAUGGGACAUGAUGGUGGCAGGAGAGGAUGGUGGUGGGAGAGGACAGUGACAAGGCAAGAUGGUGGGGAAGGUGGUGGGAUGGCUUGGCAGGGUAGGAUGGGACAGUGACAGGAAGGACAGGGUGGUGGGACGGUGGGAUGGGGAUGACAGCAGUGGGAGGUGAUGGCUGUGCAGGGCUGUGGUGGGAUGGGACCGAUGGGGCAGGAUGACGGAUGGGAUGGUGGUGGGAUGAGACGGCAGUGGGACGGCACAGCGAUGGUACAAUGAUGACAGAGGACGGUGGUGGGAGGAGAUGGUG